RNAcentral lists this ribosomal RNA (477 nucleotides) under uncultured bacterium. RNAcentral describes it as "partial 16S ribosomal RNA". It matches the Rfam family "Bacterial small subunit ribosomal RNA", at positions 28 to 523 of the family's 1533-position model. The record is from RNAcentral.
GACGAACGCUGGCGGCGUGCUUAACACAUGCAAGUCGAACGGUAAGGCCCUUCGGGGUACACGAGUGGCGAACGGGCGAGUAACACGUGGGUGAUCUGCCCUGCACUUCGGGAUAAGCCUGGGAAACUGGGUCUAAUACCGGAUAGGACCACUGCCUGCAUGGGUGGUGUGGAAAGCUUUUGCGGUGUGGGAUGGGCCCGCGGCCUAUCAGCUUGUUGGUAGGGUGAUGGCCUACCAAGGCGACGACGGGUAGCCGGCCUGAGAGGGUGACCGGCCACACUGGGACUGAGAUACGGCCCAGACUCCUACGGGAGGCAGCAGUGGGGAAUAUUGCACAAUGGGCGCAAGCCUGAUGCAGCGACGCCGCGUGAGGGAUGACGGCCUUCGGGUUGUAAACCUCUUUCAGCACCGACGAAGCGCAAGUGACGGUAGGUGCAGAAGAAGGACCGGCCAACUACGUGCCAGCCGCCGCCGUAA